This 384-nucleotide ribosomal RNA is filed under the name Nostoc sp. 'Nephroma bellum cyanobiont 31'. Its description in RNAcentral is "bacterial SSU rRNA". It matches the Rfam family "Bacterial small subunit ribosomal RNA", at positions 64 to 490 of the family's 1533-position model. Lineage: Bacteria; Bacillati; Cyanobacteriota; Cyanophyceae; Nostocales; Nostocaceae. The record is from RNAcentral.
GAACGGUGUCUUCGGACACAGUGGCGNACGGGUGAGUAACGCGUGAGAAUCUGGCUUUAGGUCUGGGACAACCACUGGAAACGGUGGCUAAUACCGGAUGUGCCCUUAGGGGUGAAAGGUUAACUGCCUAAAGAUGAGCUCGCGUCUGAUUAGCUAGUUGGUGUGGUAAGAGCGCACCAAGGCGACGAUCAGUAGCUGGUCUGAGAGGACGAUCAGCCACANUGGGACUGAGACACGGCCCAGACUCCUACGGGAGGCAGCAGUGGGGAAUUUUCCGCAAUGGGCGAAAGCCUGACGGAGCAAUACCGCGUGAGGGAGGAAGGCUCUUGGGUCGUAAACCUCUUUUCUCAGGGAAGAACACAAUGACGGUACCUGAGGAAUAAG